GAUGAACGCUGGCGGCGUGCCUAAUACAUGCAAGUCGAGCGAACAGACGAGGAGCUUGCUCCUCUGACGUUAGCGGCGGACGGGUGAGGAACACGUGGAUAACCUACCUAUAAGACUGGGAUAACUUCGGGAAACCGGAGCUAAUACCGGAUAAUAUAUUGAACCGCAUGGUUCAAUAGUGAAAGACGGUUUUGCUGUCACUGAUAGGUGGAUCCGCGCCGCAUUAGCUAGUUGGUAGGGUAACGGCUUACCAAGGCGACGCUGCGUAGCCGACCUGAGAGGGUGAGCGGCCACACUGGAACUGAGCCACGGUCCAGACUCCUACGGGAGGCAGCAGUAGGGAAUCUUCCGCAAUGGGCGAAAGCCUGACGGAGCACCGCCGCGUGAGUUAUGAAGGUCUUCGGAUCGUAAAACUCUGUUAUUAGGGAAGAACAAAUGUGUAAGUAACUAUGCACGUCUUGACGGUACCUAAUCAGAAAGCCACGGCUAACUACGUG
Molecule: ribosomal RNA, 497 nt
Filed under: uncultured bacterium
Lineage: Bacteria
Description: partial 16S ribosomal RNA
Rfam family: Bacterial small subunit ribosomal RNA
Source: RNAcentral